RNAcentral lists this transfer RNA (71 nucleotides) under Loxodonta africana (African savanna elephant). It matches the Rfam family "tRNA". From Rfam's summary of the family: Transfer RNA (tRNA) molecules are approximately 80 nucleotides in length. Their secondary structure includes four short double-helical elements and three loops (D, anti-codon, and T loops). The record is from Rfam by way of RNAcentral. Lineage: Eukaryota; Metazoa; Chordata; Mammalia; Proboscidea; Elephantidae.
ACAAUGCUGGUUCAGUGGUAGAAUUCUCACCUUCCAUGUGGGAGACCCGGGUUCAAUUCCCAGCCAAUGCA